Non-coding RNA from Pelobates cultripes (western spadefoot toad), 591 nucleotides. The record is from the annotation of a GenBank genome assembly. NCBI's taxonomy places the organism in Eukaryota, Metazoa, Chordata, Amphibia, Anura, Pelobatidae.
AUCACAAUCACCAUUUACACAGAACAAACAGUUAACAGCUGUAUUCAGAACAUAUUAUUGGAAGGUAUACCAAUUUUAGUUUAGAUUUAUUUUAGGGAUUCUUAUGUAUACAUUUUCUUAAUUAACUUCAUUACUUUAAUCUACUAUAGUAUUGUAUUUAAAGAAAGGAUCCAUUUAUAUAGCGCGCUCAUAACUCAACUAUUUGUCUAAAACUACCAUUAACUAAUCUGAGAUGAUGCUGCAUCAACUUAAAUCUUACAGAAAUUGAACAAACAUCUGGACCAGAUUAAACAGACAUGGUUUCACCUGAAUCUUUCAGAACUCUCAGAGACUUAAAAAAAUGUAUACUAUACCAUGUUUUAAAGGCAUGGCAAACCUUUAGACCGGUCAGUCUCCAAGAGCCCUUAGUAACACAGGUAAAAAACCUUUGUCCAUGAUGUCUGAUUCAGGCUAUAUACCACAAUUUAAAAUAACACAUAAUGUGAGACAUAGAAGACACAAGCAGUAGUUAUUACACUGGAUCAUUUAAAAGGAACCUGUUGCAAUAAAAAGGUUAGUUUACAGUGCAAAAUAAAGCAUGUGUUGGACCGC